UGUUUGUUGCUACCGAAGGGUGAUGAGUUGUUGUGAUUGUGGAGAGGAGACCCAGCAGAAACAUUUUGGCGAUAGUUAUGGGGAUCGAGAUCAUGUUAGUUCAUGUUGCUUGCUUCCAAUUGAUAUUUAAAAUGGUUGAGAUUCCUCGUGUCUGCCCUCAACCUGUAAUAUAUAUGUUGAGCAGAUGGCAAGGGGACUACAGAAAAUAGCUAAGCAGAGUUGAAAACACAUAUCGCUUUUGCAUAACAAGAAAAUGGCAGCCUCUUACCAUGCUCGAUCAAACAGCUUGCCCUCAAGGCAACACCCCAUCGUUUCACAAAUCGACGAGAACUUGAACCGAUUGAGGGCAUCUCA
This 354-nucleotide long non-coding RNA is filed under the name Gossypium barbadense (sea-island cotton). Its description in RNAcentral is "long non-coding RNA (GBAR_LNC011144)". Lineage: Eukaryota; Viridiplantae; Streptophyta; Magnoliopsida; Malvales; Malvaceae. The record is from RNAcentral.